UGGGGGAUAUUGCGCAAUGGAGGAAACUCUGACGCAGCAACGCCGCGUGAAGGAAGAAGGUCUUCGGAUUGUAAACUUUUGUCUUCGGGGACGAUAAUGACGGUACCCGAGGAGGAAGCCACGGCUAACUACGUGCCAGCAGCCGCGGUAAUACGUAGGUGGCGAGCGUUGUCCGGAAUUACUGGGUGUAAAGGGUGCGUAGGCGGGUAGACAAGUCAGAUGUGAAAUCCCAUGGCUUAACUGUGGGACUGCAUUUGAAACUGUAUAUCUUGAGUGCAGGAGAGGUAAGCGGAAUUCCCAGUGUUGCGGUGAAAUGCGUAGAUAUUGGGAGGAACACCAGUGGCGAAGGCGGCUUACUGGACUGCAACUGACGCUGAUGCACGAAAGCGUGGGGAUCAAACA
This 402-nucleotide ribosomal RNA is filed under the name uncultured bacterium. RNAcentral describes it as "bacterial SSU rRNA". It matches the Rfam family "Bacterial small subunit ribosomal RNA", at positions 355 to 774 of the family's 1533-position model. The record is from RNAcentral.